GAUGAACGCUGGCGGCGUGCCUAAUACAUGCAAGUCGAGCGAACAGACGAGAGUGCUUGCACUCUCUGACGUUAGCGGCGGACGGGUGAGUAACACGUGGGUAACCUACCUAUAAGACUGGGAUAACUUCGGGAAACCGGAGCUAAUACCGGAUAAUAUUUAGCUUCGCAUGAAGCAAUAGUGAAAGACGGUUCUGCUGUCACUUAUAGAUGGACCCGCGGUGUAUUAGCUAGUUGGUGAGGUAACGGCUCACCAAGGCAACGAUACAUAGCCGACCUGAGAGGGUGAUCGGCCACACUGGGACUGAGACACGGCCCAGACUCCUACGGGAGGCAGCAGUAGGGAAUCUUCCGCAAUGGACGAAAGUCUGACGGAGCAAUGCCGCGUGAGUAAAGAAGGUUUUCGGAUCGUAAAACUCUGUUGUAAGGGAAGUACAAGUACGUUAGUAACUGAACGUACCUUGACGGUACCUUACCAGGAAGCCACGGCUAACUACGUG
RNAcentral lists this ribosomal RNA (499 nucleotides) under uncultured bacterium. RNAcentral's name for it is "partial 16S ribosomal RNA". It matches the Rfam family "Bacterial small subunit ribosomal RNA", at positions 28 to 507 of the family's 1533-position model. The record is from RNAcentral.